UAUGCGAGGGCCCUUGCAUCCCGGUUAAAAUGGAUUGGCCGCAAUUUCUCCCCUUUUUAUAAGGGGUUUCCCCAGUAAGGCGAGUGAAGAGGGAAGAGCUCAAAUUGAAAGCKKRYMCCUUCGGUAUCCGCGUUGUAACCUCGAGACACGUUUUCCGUGCGGCGCUAUGGACAAGUUCCUUGGAACAGGACAUCGUAGAGGGUGAAAAUCCCGUACUUGCCAYGGAUGUACCGUGCUUUGCGAUACGUGCUCUWAGAGUCGAGUUGUUUGGGAUUGCAGCUCAAAAUGGGUGGUAGACUCCAUCUAAAGCUAAAUAUCGGGGAGAGACCGAUAGCGAACAAGUACCGUGAGGGAAAGAUGAAAAGCACUUUGGAAAGAGAGUUAAAAGUACGUGAAAUUGUCGAAAGGGAAGCGCUUGAAGUCAGCCAUGCCGCUCAGGACUCAGCCUGGCUUUUGCUUGGUGUAUUUCCUGGGUAGCAAGUCAGCAUUGGUUUGGAUCGUCGGAGAAGCAUAGUCGGAAUGUGGCGCCCUCGGGCGUGUUAUAGCCUUCUAUUGGAUACGACGAUMUAGACCAAGGAACGCAGCGCGCCUUAUGGCGGGUCUUCGGACACCUUCGCGCUUAGGAUGCUUGGCCUUUAUUGGGGGCGUGCUUUCCCCCCCUUCCCUUUUAGGGGUGCCCCCCAGAACCCGAG
RNAcentral lists this ribosomal RNA (692 nucleotides) under Malassezia furfur. Its description in RNAcentral is "eukaryotic LSU rRNA". It matches the Rfam family "Eukaryotic large subunit ribosomal RNA", at positions 1 to 605 of the family's 3401-position model. Lineage: Eukaryota; Fungi; Basidiomycota; Malasseziomycetes; Malasseziales; Malasseziaceae. The record is from RNAcentral.